AUAAAAAAUAACUUGCAUUAAGUUUACAUUUAGAACAUAUACAAAAAAGGAGACUUUCUUCUUUUGGUUCACUGUGCUACACCACCAAAGCUUCCACUCUUCAGUUUUUCAGAACCCUGUGUGUUGCCAUCGGACGAAUGGUUAAAUUCUAUUGUUAAUGAAAACAAAAAAAGUUCACAAAUUAUGGAAAAGUUUGAAGUAUUAUGUGAAUCUGCAAAAAUUCCAAAAAAAACUGUUGUCGUAACCGGUAAACCUGGUGAAGCUAUCAUAGAAGCUGCAAAUUUAGAAGGAAUAAACCUCAUAGUUAUGGGGGCGCGAGGUUUAAACGCUUUAAGACGUACGUUUAUUGGUAGUGUGAGUGAUUAUGUUCUUCAUCAUUCUAAUGUUCCUGUUACAAUAGUUCCUCCAAUCGUCUGAAACAAACGUUAUUCAAAUUUUCUUUUAAUUCUUAUAUAAUUUAUUUCUUUAUAAUUAUUAUAUAGUCUAUACUGUAUAUAUUA
Hydra vulgaris (swiftwater hydra) is the source of this 500-nucleotide long non-coding RNA. RefSeq lists it as uncharacterized. The record is from RefSeq and is a predicted model, not a curated record. Lineage: Eukaryota; Metazoa; Cnidaria; Hydrozoa; Anthoathecata; Hydridae.